RNAcentral lists this transfer RNA (74 nucleotides) under Candidatus Woesearchaeota archaeon. RNAcentral describes it as "tRNA-Ala". It matches the Rfam family "tRNA". Rfam says of the family: Transfer RNA (tRNA) molecules are approximately 80 nucleotides in length. Their secondary structure includes four short double-helical elements and three loops (D, anti-codon, and T loops). Lineage: Archaea; Nanobdellati; Candidatus Woesearchaeota. The record is from RNAcentral.
GGGCCUGUAGCGUAAUCCGGUAACGUGCUCCCUUGGCUUGGGAGAGAUUUCGAGUUCAAAUCUCGACAGGUCCA